UACGUAGGUCCCGAGCGUUGUCCGGAUUUAUUGGGCGUAAAGCGAGCGCAGGUGGUUUAAUAAGUCUGAUGUAAAAGGCAGUGGCUCAACCAUAGUUCGCUUUGGAAACUGUCAAACUUGAGUGCAGUAGAGGAGAGUGGAAUUCCAUGUGUAGCGGUGAAAUGCGUAGAUAUAUGGAGGAACACCGGUGGCGAAAGCGGCUCUCUGGACUGUAACUGACACUGAGGCUCGAAAGCGUGGGUAGCAAACAGG
RNAcentral lists this ribosomal RNA (252 nucleotides) under uncultured microorganism. RNAcentral describes it as "partial 16S ribosomal RNA". It matches the Rfam family "Bacterial small subunit ribosomal RNA", at positions 524 to 776 of the family's 1533-position model. The record is from RNAcentral.